Molecule: transfer RNA, 72 nt
Filed under: secondary endosymbiont of Heteropsylla cubana
Lineage: Bacteria; Pseudomonadati; Pseudomonadota; Gammaproteobacteria; Enterobacterales; Enterobacteriaceae
Description: tRNA-Glu (TTC) (tRNA-Glu-TTC-1-1)
Rfam family: tRNA
About the family: Transfer RNA (tRNA) molecules are approximately 80 nucleotides in length.
Source: Rfam by way of RNAcentral
GUCCCCUUCGUCUAGUGGUAAGGACAUCGCCCUUUCACGGCGGUAACAGGGGUUCGAGCCCCCUAGGGGACA